Molecule: small nucleolar RNA, 95 nt
Filed under: Macaca fascicularis (crab-eating macaque)
Lineage: Eukaryota; Metazoa; Chordata; Mammalia; Primates; Cercopithecidae
Description: Small nucleolar RNA U3 (ENSMFAG00000055668.1)
Rfam family: Small nucleolar RNA U3
About the family: Small nucleolar RNAs (snoRNAs) are involved in the processing and modification of rRNA in the nucleolus. There are two main classes of snoRNAs: the box C/D class, and the box H/ACA class. U3 snoRNA is a member of the box C/D class.
Source: RNAcentral
AAGACUAUACUUUCAGGGAUCAUUUCUAUAGUUUGUGACUAGAGAAGUUUCUCUGAACGUGUAGAGCACCUUCAAGAUGGAUUAGAGACUUAAAU